This 381-nucleotide ribosomal RNA is filed under the name uncultured delta proteobacterium. Its description in RNAcentral is "bacterial SSU rRNA". It matches the Rfam family "Bacterial small subunit ribosomal RNA", at positions 114 to 479 of the family's 1533-position model. The record is from RNAcentral. Lineage: Bacteria; Deltaproteobacteria.
CGCGUGGGUAAUCUACCUCUAAAUUGGGGAUAACAUUGUGAAAGCGAUGCUAAUACCGAAUAAUAUCUCGAGAACUUAGGCUUUUGGGAUCAAGGGUGGCCUCUACAUGUAAGCUACUGUUUAGAGAUGAGCUCGCGUACCAUUAGCUUGUUGGUAGGGUAAUGGCCUACCAAGGCAACGAUGGUUAGCUGGUCUGAGAGGAUGAUCAGCCACACUGGAACUGACACACGGUCCAGACUCCUACGGGAGGCAGCAGUGAGGAAUUUUGCGCAAUGGGGGAAACCCUGACGCAGCAACGCCGCGUGAGUGAUGAAGGCUUUCGAGUCGUAAAGCUCUGUCAAGUGGGAAGAACCUUACUUUUUGUUAAUAUCAUUAAGUACU